CGAGGAUGCAAAUGCAACGGAUGGCCCGGCAGCGUGCUUUGGCAGCAGGCACCCAAGCGCUUCGAUCAGUAGGAGAUGUCGACGAGCGCGAUCAUGGCGUUCGCGACGAUAUCCUCGUGUGCCGCCCUCUGCAGCUCGUCGCGGAGCAAGGCGCGCCGCUGGCUCCGCGUCCGCGGCGGCGUCGGCGGCCGCCGCACGGCGCGGCGCGCACCGCUGGCGUAGGGCCGCAGCUCGGCGUCGUAGAAGGACGCGAGCUCCCGGAGCACGGCGCACGCCCGCGGCAGGUGGCGCGCGAGCGGCAGCGCGAGGUUGAACGGCCACAGCAGGAACGUGAACUGGAACGCCUGCAGGAACCCGCCCGCCACGGCCGGCACGGCGAGGAGCAACACGUGAACCGCCAUGGAUCACGAUCGGCCUCUCUCUUCUUCUUCUUUUUUUUUUCUGAGCUCUGUGAUCGACCGCUCCACUGCUGCUAGCUAGAUGGUGUUGUCUCUCUACCCCUGUGUGCUCUCCAUGGCUAUGUGCCCGAGGAGCUCGAGGCGCGCGUGUUGGUGGUUAGCAAGGACCUGGCAAGCCGGCCGUGAACGGAGAAGGGAUUGUAGAUACCUUGCUUUGUGGAGUGGACAUUGGCGAAGG
Molecule: long non-coding RNA, 636 nt
Filed under: Setaria viridis
Lineage: Eukaryota; Viridiplantae; Streptophyta; Magnoliopsida; Poales; Poaceae
Description: long non-coding RNA (SVIR_LNC008494)
Source: RNAcentral